GUGAGUGUAGCUCAGCUGGUUUAGAGCACUGGACUGUGGCUCCAGUUGUCGCCGGUUCGAAUCCGGUCACUCACC
RNAcentral lists this transfer RNA (75 nucleotides) under Candidatus Omnitrophota bacterium. RNAcentral describes it as "tRNA-His". It matches the Rfam family "tRNA". Rfam says of the family: Transfer RNA (tRNA) molecules are approximately 80 nucleotides in length. Lineage: Bacteria; Pseudomonadati; Candidatus Omnitrophota. The record is from RNAcentral.